GUCAAUGUGGUACCAGAAAUCUUGGCUAAGAAAGGACAAGACAAAGUCAACGGGAGUUAGCUCGAAAAUUACGGUUUAGUAAAGAUAGAACGUUGAAUCAGCAUCCCAGUUCGAUCCCGAAUUCAUUAAGGUAAAGUGUGUUAAUUAUUGGUAAUGGCAUGUACCUAGGACGUUUUAUGAGAGUCAUUUAGGUUGUAGAUAUACUCAUGAAAUGAGUAAAUUAUGGUUGGCAACGGUAUGUAGUAUGAAUUUGAAAUUUACUAAAAAUUCGUAGUGAUUCUAAAUUAGUCCCGAAUUGAAUUUACUGUUCAUAUUGGACCGCGAGGGCCCAUUAAAGGGACGACAUCUUAAAACUAGGAUGUGUGUAAAUAUUUAUUUUAAUUAAUGACCGAAAUUGGACUGUACUGACUGGUAAUGUCUCGUAAUCCUGUUCCGAUGACGGUAUAGGGUUAGGGGGCGUUACAGAACUACUUUUUGUGCUCAUAAUAUGAAACUAAGCAACAUGCAUUGAAUAACA
Long non-coding RNA from Gossypium arboreum, 517 nucleotides. RefSeq lists it as uncharacterized. The transcript has 2 exons. The record is from RefSeq and is a predicted model, not a curated record. Lineage: Eukaryota; Viridiplantae; Streptophyta; Magnoliopsida; Malvales; Malvaceae.